Molecule: RNA transcript, 1080 nt
Organism: Dioscorea cayenensis subsp. rotundata (Guinea yam)
Lineage: Eukaryota; Viridiplantae; Streptophyta; Magnoliopsida; Dioscoreales; Dioscoreaceae
Gene name: dol-P-Man:Man(5)GlcNAc(2)-PP-Dol alpha-1,3-mannosyltransferase-like
Exons: 7
Source: RefSeq, a predicted model, not a curated record
UAACUCAUGUUUUUAAUCAAUUUUUUGUUCUCUUAAAGAAAUUUCUCUUUGUCCAACUCCAAUUCCAGCAGUUCAAGCAGGUUUGCAAGGCUUCAAGGGAUCCAUUGCUCGUUGGUAGGGUGAAAACUCUGCAUGAGAUUCAGCUACAGCACUAGAGACGCCAUGGGGAUGAACAUGAUGGUCUCUAAGGGAGUAUAGAAUGUCUUGGAUUAUCUUCAAAGUGACUUCCCGGACAUGGACACAAUCAGCAUGUCUGGAAUUGGGAUGGGAUGUCAAAAUUUGGAACUUUGGAGCUUGCUAGUGGUUUGGGUGGGAACAUCAAGAAGCAGGAAGUUCAAUCUGUUGUACAACAGCUGUAAAUUGGACGACAUGAUGAGGAUCUAGGAUUGACUGUGAUAUGAAAGCAGUGCGAGAGGGGGUUUUCUCCGUUGAAUGGCGGAGCAAUGGGCGGUCGGGAAACCCGAAAGCCGGCAGUCGCCGCUGUCCUUCUCCUUCUCGAUGUGAUCUUGGUCUCUCUGAUCAUCAUCUACGUGCCUUAUACAAAGAUAGAUUGGGAUGCGUGCAUGUCUCAGGUGGAUGGGUUUCUUGGAGGAGAGAGGGAUUAUACGAAGCUGAAAGGGGAUACAGAGCCUUUGGUUUAUCUGUCUCUGUUUUUUUAUGCUUAUUUUGUCAUCCAAUUUGUGACUGGUAGGCAGGUAUAUCCUGCUCAUAAAUUUUAACGAAGCUAUUACUGCUGUAGAAGACACCUUACUAGUGUGUGGUCAACCAGACAACACAAGCUCAGAAAAAUAAAUCUAGAUUCUUUGACCAAGACUGCUCCAGGUUAUUCUGGGGGAGAAAAUUGCUCCGAAAUCAAGUUUUCCUAAUGGAUUUUGAGGUCCAAUAUAUGCCCUCUCUUUAACUUUCACCAUCAUAUAUGCCAUUCAAUUUGUUCGUGUGGGAAUAAUUGAAGAUUGCUUACUUAUCUUGUGACUGUGACUUGAUUAUGUGUGAAUUCCAUAAGACGAUGUACGCACAGAUUUAACUUGGUCUUUUAUUCAAGUCAUCAACUAGAUGAUUUUUGGUUGGAAAUUUGAGUAU